Molecule: ribosomal RNA, 899 nt
Filed under: uncultured bacterium
Lineage: Bacteria
Description: bacterial SSU rRNA
Rfam family: Bacterial small subunit ribosomal RNA
Source: RNAcentral
GAGUUGAUCUGCUCAGAUGACGCUAGCGACAGCCUACACAUGCAAGUCGAGGGGUACAUGUAGCUGCUACAGAUGACGACCGGCGCACGGGUGAGUAACGCGUAUGCAACCUACCUUUCACAGGGGGAUAGCCCAGAGAAAUCUGGAUUAAUACCGCAUAAUAUGAUUGAUUCGCAUGGAUUAAUUAUUAGAUUUUCGAAGGUGAAAGAUGGGCAUGCGUAGCAUUAGUUAGUUGGUAAGGUAACGGCUUACCAAGACGAUGAUGCUUAGGGGGUCUGAGGGGAUAGUCCCCCACACUGGUACUGAGACACGGACCAGACUCCUACGGGAGGCAGCAGUGAGGAAUAUUGGUCAAUGGACGCAAGUCUGAACCAGCCAUGUCGCGUGCAGGAUGACGGCCCUAUGGGUUGUAAACUGCUUUUUUACAGGAAUAAACUUUGCUACGUGUAGCGAACUGAAGGUACUGUAGGAAUAAGGAUCGGCUAACUCCGUGCCAGCAGCCACGGUAAUACGGAGGAUUCGAGCGUUAUCCGGAUUUAUUGGGUUUAAAGGGUCCGUAGGCGGGCCAAUAAGUCAGUGGUGAAAUCCCAGAGCUCAACUCUGGAACUGCCAUUGAUACUGUUGGUCUUGAAUUUAGUUGAGGUGGGCGGAAUACGUUAUGUAGCGGUGAAAUGCAUAGAUAUAACGUAGAACACCGAUUGCGAAGGCAGCUCACUAAACUAACAUUGACGCUGAUGGACGAAAGCGUGGGGAGCGAACAGGAUUAGAUACCCUGGUAGUCCACGCCGUAAACGAUGAUUACUCGUUGUGCACAAUACAUCGUGCGUGACUGAGCGAAAGCAUUAAGUAAUCCACCUGGGGAGUACGUUCGCAAGAAUGAAACUCAAAGGAAUUGACGG